GAUGAACGCUGGCGGCGUGCCUAAUACAUGCAAGUCGAGCGAACGGACGAUAAGCUCUCUUCUCUGAUGUUAGCGGCUGACGGGUGAGUAACACGUGGAUAACCUACCUAUAAUACUUGGAUAACUUCGUGAAACCAUAUCUAAUACCACAUAAUAUUUUGAACCGCAUGGUUCAAAAGUGAAAGACGCUCUUGCUGUCACUUAUAGAUGGAUCCGCGCUGCAUUAGCUAGUUGGUAAGGGAACGGCUAACCAAGGCAACGAAGCCUAGCCGACCUGAGAGGGUGAUUCGCCAACACGGAAAUGGAAAAACGGUCAAGAUCCCAACGGAGGCCGCCGGAGGGAAACUUUCGACAAGGGCGAAAACCUGAAGGCGGCCAGACGGGUGAGUGAUGAAGGUCUUCGGAUCGUAAAACCCUGUUAUUAGGGAAGAAAAUAUGUGUAAGUAAAUGUGCACAUUUUGACGGUACCUAAUCAGAAAGCAACGGCUAACUACGUG
Molecule: ribosomal RNA, 497 nt
Filed under: uncultured bacterium
Lineage: Bacteria
Description: partial 16S ribosomal RNA
Rfam family: Bacterial small subunit ribosomal RNA
Source: RNAcentral